Molecule: ribosomal RNA, 516 nt
Filed under: uncultured bacterium
Lineage: Bacteria
Description: bacterial SSU rRNA
Rfam family: Bacterial small subunit ribosomal RNA
Source: RNAcentral
CAGCCUAAUACAUGCAAGUCGAGCGAAUGGAUUAAGAGCUUGCUCUUAUGAAGUUAGCGGCGGACGGGUGAGUAACACGUGGGUAACCUGCCCAUAAGACUGGGAUAACUACGGGAAACCGGGGCUAAUACCGAAUAAUCUAUUUUACUUCAUGGCGAAAUACUGAAAGACGGUUUCGGCUGUCGCUAUAAGAUGGGCCCGCGGCGCAUUAGCUAGUUGGUGAGGUAACGGCUCACCAAGACGACGAUGCGUAGCCGACCUAGAGAGGGUGAUCGGCCACACUGGGACUGAGACACGGCCCAGACUCCUACGGGAGGCAGCAGUAGGGAAUCUUCCACAAUGGGCGAAAGCCUGAUGGAGCAACGCCGCGUGAGUGAAGAAGGUUUUCGGAUCGUAGAACUCUGUUGUAAGGGAAGAACAAGUACAGUAGUAACUAGGCUGUACCUUGACGGUUACCUUUAUUUAGAAAAAGCCCCACGGGGUAACUUACGGUGCCCAGCAGCCGCGGGGUGAAAU